GAGCCCAAGAUUGAAAGCUGGCGUCUUCGGCGUCCGCAUUGUAAUCUCAAGAAGUGUUUUCCGCUUCGGACCAUGCCUAAGUCCCUUGGAAAAGGGCAUCAUAGAGGGUGAUAAUCCCGUACAUGGCAUGGAGCGCCCGAAGCUUUGUGAUACGCUUUCUAAGAGUCGAGUUGUUUGGGAAUGCAGCUCAAAAUGGGUGGUAAAUGCCAUCUAAGGCUAAAUAUUGGGGAGAGACCGAUAGCGAACAAGUACAGUGAUGGAAAGAUGAAAAGAACUUUGAAAAGAGAGUUAAACAGUACGUGAAAUUGCCAAAAGGGAAGGGUAGGAGGUCAGAGAUGCGUUCUGGGAUUCAGCCUUGCUUUUGCUUGGUGUUUUUCCCAGAUUGCAGGCCAACGUCGGUUUUGGGCGCUGGAGAAGGGUGGAAGGAAUGUGGCACCUCUCGGGGUGUGUUAUAGCCUUCUACUGGAUACAGUGACCGAGACCGAGGACAGCAGCGUACUCGCAAGAGCGGGCCUUCGGGCACCUUUACGCUUAGGGCGUUGGCAUAAUGGCCCUCUACCACCCGUCUU
RNAcentral lists this ribosomal RNA (569 nucleotides) under uncultured Pseudozyma. Its description in RNAcentral is "eukaryotic LSU rRNA". It matches the Rfam family "Eukaryotic large subunit ribosomal RNA", at positions 104 to 655 of the family's 3401-position model. Lineage: Eukaryota; Fungi; Basidiomycota; Ustilaginomycetes; Ustilaginales; Ustilaginaceae. The record is from RNAcentral.